Molecule: long non-coding RNA, 242 nt
Filed under: Homo sapiens (human)
Lineage: Eukaryota; Metazoa; Chordata; Mammalia; Primates; Hominidae
Description: non-protein coding MIR100HG:63
Source: RNAcentral
GGGACUUGACGAUGGCGCCUGCUCGUUCCUGUUGUGUUCUAUCUGAGGCAUGAUUUUCUUUCGUUUUUGGGAGGUAGAGAGCACGGGGCAGAGGUUGCACCUGACACAUUAGAACUCCGUUGUCACUGCUGUGGCUGUUAUUCCCCUCGGCAAGAGCCAAGGAGCAAACAGGACGGUGGGUCACCUCGCCAGCUAUUUAGCACCAUUUCCUUUCUCUUCCUCAACCUUGUUAGAAUUUUCUC